RNAcentral lists this ribosomal RNA (607 nucleotides) under Colletotrichum boninense. Its description in RNAcentral is "eukaryotic LSU rRNA". The stretch from base 245 to 398 matches the Rfam family "5.8S ribosomal RNA". Lineage: Eukaryota; Fungi; Ascomycota; Sordariomycetes; Glomerellales; Glomerellaceae. The record is from RNAcentral.
GAAGUAAAAGUCGUAACAAGGUCUCCGUUGGUGAACCAGCGGAGGGAUCAUUACUGAGUUACCGCUCUAUAACCCUUUGUGAACAUACCUACAACUGUUGCUUCGGCGGGUAGGCCGUCCCCUGAAAAGGACGCCUCCCGGCCCGGACCGGACCCCCCGCGGGACCGGACCCGGCGCCCGCCGGAGGAUAACCAAACUCUAUUGUAACGACGUUUCUUCUGAGUGGCAUAAGCAAAAUAAUCAAAACUUUUAACAACGGAUCUCUUGGUUCUGGCAUCGAUGAAGAACGCAGCGAAAUGCGAUAAGUAAUGUGAAUUGCAGAAUUCAGUGAAUCAUCGAAUCUUUGAACGCACAUUGCGCCCGCCAGCAUUCUGGCGGGCAUGCCUGUUCGAGCGUCAUUUCAACCCUCAAGCUCUGCUUGGUGUUGGGGCUCUACGGUCGACGUAGGCCCUCAAAGGUAGUGGCGGACCCUCCCGGAGCCUCCUUUGCGUAGUAACAUUUCGUCUCGCACUGGGAUCCGGAGGGACUCUUGCCGUAAAACCCCCCAAUUUUCCAAAGGUUGACCUCGGAUCAGGUAGGAAUACCCGCUGAACUUAAGCAUAUCAAU